ACCCUUAGGAGCUUUUCAUGUGGUUAAAUCAAGAUUCACUUGCACGUUCACUCACACAUGCUGCUUCUACUCCGGAAGUACGCAUCCACAUACAUCCACUCAUUUUCAUAUCUAGAUUCACCCAAAAAUAUUCUACUCCUAAUCCGGGAGAGAAUAGCCAAAAACAUUCUCCUAUUUCUGUUUUCCCCUGUGAAAUAAAUGCUCAAGAUAUUUCGGUUACUACCACUUGCUACAUUAUUUAAAGAGGUGAGUGCUCUAAAAAAAAGAAGAUACGAGGAGAUAAAAAGGGGCAAGUGCCCGAAACCUCGAAAGAAAAGAAAAAGUGAGACGAGAGGUAAAAAUGGACAAGUGUCCGACAGUAGAAUUAGGGGUACAAGAUACCCACCUGAGAGAAAAGAAAAAGAAAAUAUAGAGCAUCUCAUUCUCCUCAAGAAGUUUCAAAAGAGCAAGAAAGGUAUGUAUCCCUCAAAAGAGCACAAGUAGAAUUAGACUUUCACCAUUGUUAUCACCAUUAUCACCAUACACCAUUCAUUCGCCACACAUGCACAUCUUGAUUUGACUUAUUGACUUGUUCUUCUAGAUCCAUGGUUUGACUAUACAAUAAAUAUCUUGUAAGUAUGUAUUAGCUGUCUCCCACCUGUGAGCUCCAGAUAUCAAAACCUUAUUAGAGUAGGGCGAGAGAGAAGGCAAUGCCACUAUGCCUCAUACCAAAAUACCACAUACUUUGAGAGAAGGCAUACACCAUUACUGCCUUGGUAAGGAUCCAGAAAUACCACAAAAGAGAGACUAGAGAGAGUCAUACAAGGAAUCUCUGAGUUUUAUUUGAAAAUCUGCAAAAACUCCAGAGCUAUAGUUAAUCGAAGAACAAGAGACAUGGCGCUUGAUUAGAUCGUUCUAUCUUUUAACUGCUCAAGACACAAGUGAUGGUUGCAAGCCCCAUGGUUGAUGGAAAAACGAGUAAGUUUAAAUCUUAACAGUUUACCCUAACCCAGAGAUGAGAUCUUGUUUGAACACAUGUAUAUCUUUAAGGCAUGAAACCACUGCAGAAACUCUUGAGUUCAUCUUUGCUCAGGGACGAGCAAAGGUUAAGCUUGGGGGAGCUUGUUGACGGUCCUUAAUGCUCACAUUUAACCAUCAACUAAUCAUGGAAAAGGAUCCAAAUGCAACUAACACCCAGACUUAGGGUUUUAUCUGACAGAAUUCCACGAGUUUUGGUGUUUGUCUAUUUCUGUAGGGGGUUAUCAGGAAAUACGGAAGAAAGGCCCACAUGUCGGGUUUACAUAGAGAUAUUAACGUGCCGCGCAAUUUUCUAUCAUCUAGAAGACUCCAGUAGCCACGGGAACGAAGCGGAGGCCGAACGGGGCCUGGCCCAGGGCGCCCGCCCUGCUAUAGUGUCCAAUCCAGACCCGUCUUGCGGAUCACGCUCCACCGACCUAAAGGAUCAAGGAUAACCGUUCAAUCAAUGUCGGUUUGAAAAGACUAUAUAAGCAAGGCCCCUGGCCCCUGGAGAUCAUACCUCUUCUACAGAAUCAAAGCUAGGGUUUCAAUUCUUCAUCCAAAUAGAGAGGAUCCCUCUAGUUCAUCUAGUUCUAGUUCUAGUUAGUUCUAGUUGUAAUCUAGAAAAUAGGGAGAGAGAAGAGGAGAGCGGAGGAGGAGCCGGAGCUGUCGGAUCUUUCUCAACAUUAUACUUUUGCUGCAACUGGUUCAUUCUUCAUCGUUCUCCAAGUUCUUCAAUUCAUAAUUCCUGAGUUCUUUAAUUACUUUUAUUUACAUUCAAGUUAUUUAUUAGAUUCCCGCUUGCAUCAAGUGCUCUAGUCUUUAUAACGCUAGAGUAGUAAUUAAUAGAUUAGACGUGGUGUUUAGUCUUGCAAUUACCUCGAAUUGCACCCAAUCCUGCGGAUUGUUGUGGUAGCCCUAGGGUAGUGACAGCUCUAACGGUCGACGUAUUCCACCUCGUUCGGAUCGGUGUUUGUAGGACCGUAGUCAGAGCUUCCUAGCCCCCUUCUCAUCUCUUUCUGUGGUUAGUGUUCUGAUGUCCCGAAAUAAAUAAUCUUUGAAGUAAUUCUUGAUUCUUAGAUCAACUAGAGAACUCUCAGGAAACUUCCUCUCUUCCCACCAAAAAUAAUUAUAUAGUUAUCCUUGGGCGAUCUUGAAUCUUAAAUAGUACACUCACGUUCCCUGUGGAAAAUCGAUACUCUGGAAUACUCCCGGGUGAAGGCUACAUUGGUAUCCAUGCGCUUGCGGAUUUUUCUGUUUGCGUUUAAAAUACCCAACAAGCUUUCCGGCGCUGUUGCUGGGGAACGGUAGCUGUGCUAGUUUCGAACCAAGUCGUCCGUGUAUCCUUUUUCUUUUCCUUUUUUACCACAUUCACCUUACCAUUUUCACCACACCACAUGGAUUUCACUCCAAGCAUUAAUGAGCAUGCAAUUUAUUUCAUAGCCACUUCAUUUACUCCAUGCUCAUAUGCAACAUCUUCCCAAUCCAUUGAUCUCUCCAACAUCGCCACAUUCGAGAUCUCCAACCCCCUCUUCCUUUCUAUUUAUAAAAACUUUAAAAGGGCGGUUGUCGAUGCAUAUGUCUAUAAUAAAUUUUGCAGAUCUCUUUGAGUUGAUCUUGAUAUAGGUCAUCGUUGGUGGGGAAACCACUUCGCAGACUUAAAUUGAUGGUUUCCCAAAGACAAGCUUAGUGUCCUAAAACACAGCAAUGAUCACAUCAUAACAUGAGCUUUUAAUUAUUUGCAACAUUAUCUUGUGUGUUGAGCAUAUAAGGAUAAUUGUAAAAAAAUUCCUUCGAGUAUUCUUGUCACUAACCUUUCCAAGAUUGGAGCUAGAAGAUCGGAUGAAUGACAAGCACAAGGUAUGUCCAACCAAUCAUCAUACAACAUUGAAUUAAAUUCAUCCAAACUUGAAUUUUGCAAAAUUCAAGCUUGAGGGAGUACUUUACAUAAAAACAUCCCUUGUUAUGUUGCUAUGUUGGUUGUGCCUACCUUUGAGACAUGCUCAAUUUGUUAAAUACUAAUCACACUACUUCAUCUCCACUUGAGUAGAACUCAAUAAAUGCUCUCAUGCUACCUUUAUUUGCUUUAGUAUAUGUCUAGGUUUGGAGUAGUUUCAUUUAUCUCUUAAUUAAGCAUGGUGCUUAGUUUAGGAAUGAUGAUCUUACUUCCACGGGAUUUUAAAUUAAGCAUGGUGCUUAAGUUAAAAUACCCUCCUAAAUCAAAUUAGACAUGGUGUCUAGGUUGAUCUUUGAGCCGAUAGUAUGCUAUAGUAGAUAUUGGAUAUUUUGUUGGACUAACCCCUGCAGGAAAACUUUCAAUAUCGACCUGGGAAGUCCUGAGAUAAACUCACAUUGGAGACAAAGAGAGAGACGCAUGAAGGUUAACAAUUUACACAAGGAAGGCAUAGCUCACAAGAGAUGAUCCAUGGAGCCAUGGAGGGUGCUACAAACACGAUGCACAACCGCUAAGAAAGGAAAGCUUCCACAAGGUGAUAUUGUACCAUCACUCUUCAAGUAAGAUAACAUCUUAAGGUACUUGACUAUCACUUUUAUAAGUUUCUCCUUGGUUCUAGCAUUCACAUGAAUAAAAGAGACAAACAUGUAUGAUUUAAAACUCUAGAUUAACCAACCCAAUCGAUUCAAUAUGUUUAGUCCUACUACCUUCAUGAUCCCACACUCCUAAUCAUAUAAGCAAAAAUGUUACACAUUCAAUCUCUCGAAGAUAUAAACAAAACAUAAGUAUAGAUAGAUUAUCUUUCCAUUAGGUUGAGCGAUCUGAUCUGACAAAUAUUUUAAAUGCUACACUCAUGAUCUUAUUAUCCAUCAACUUUGUCUUGCUCACUAUGCUUAAGGUUAGAGAGAACAAAUACACUUUUGGUUCUGUUGGUGUUUUCCACCAACAGGGCCCAUGCACUUGAUAUCUACCUUGUCUCUAUGAGCAGGUACACUUCGAGCAAAAUAUGAAGGAGUUUUACAACUCCUAGACUCCACCAAGUGAAGAACCUAGAUCUACAAGCACAAACACACUAGAGAUAUUGUACACUCAGGCAAUCACUGCCCUGAGAUGCUUUAUCUAUUCUAUUAUUUAUAUUUUCUAACAUUUUAUCAUUAGAUGCGAAUUUCUUAGAUAGGUUAUCCAUUAGCUUUCCUUGAUUAGACACUAACUCUCUCAGAGGUAGAAAAUUAUUAUUAUUAUUGUAAGAAUUAUUACCUUGAUAAUUACCUAAGUAGUUAGGCCUCUGUUGAUUCCAACCUUGAUUUUGUUGAGGACGGUUGUAGUAGUAGUUGUUGUUGUUGGUGGUGGUGUAGUUUACGUCCUCAAGCAUCUCAGGGCAGUGAUUGCCUGAGUGUCCAGUAUCUCCACACUCCUCACAAGUCAUGUGAGAGUCGUAGACGUGCAUGACUUCUUCUUAUCUCCAGCUCUAUCAUCGAGCUUCUUUAUGAGCAGGUCUAGCUUGGCAGACAUCAUGUCUACUUUCUUGAGUUGGUGCAUACCUCCACCUCUCUUACGUGUCUAGGUGUUGGCAGCAUCCUGCUCAGUGUGUUUGUGCUCGUAGAUCCAGGUUCUUCACUUGGUGGAGUCUGGGAGUUGUAAAACUUCUUCAUAUUUUGCUCGAAGUGUACCUGCUCAUAGAGACAAGGCAGAGAUCAAGUGCAUGGGCCAUGUUGGUGGAAAACACCAACAGAACCAAAAGUGUAUUUGUUCUUCUCUAACCUUAAGCAUAGUGAGCAAGACAAAGUUGAUGGAUAAUAAGAUCAUGAGUGUAACAUUUAAAACAUUUGUCAGAUCAGAUCGCUCAACCUAAUGGAAAGAUAAUCUAUCUAUACUUAUGUUGUUUUUUAUAUAUCUUCUAAAGAUUGUGUGUGCAACAUUUUAGCUCAUAUGAUUAGGAGUGUGGGAUCACAACGGUGGAAGGACUAAACAUGUUGAAUCGAUUAGGUUGGUUAAUCUAGAGUUGUAAAUCAUACAUGUUUGUCUCUUUUAUUCAUAUGAACGCCAGAACUAAGGAGAAACUUAUAAAAGUGAUAGUCAAGUACCUUAAGAUGUUACCUUACUUGAAGAGUGAUGGUACAAUAUUACCUUGUGGAAGCUUUCCUUUCUUAGCGGUUGUGCAUCGUGUUUGUGGCACCCUCCAUGGAUCAUCUCUUGUGAGCUAUGCCUUCCUUGUGUAAAUGGUCAACCUUCAUGCGUCUCUCUCUUUGUCUCCAAUGUGAGUUUAUCUCAGGACAUCCCAGGUCGAUAUUGAAAGUUUUCCUGCAGGGGUUAGUCCAACAAAAUAUCCAAUAUCUACUAUAGCAUACUAUCGGCUCAAAGAUCAACCUAGACACCAUGUCUAAUUUGAUUUAGGAGGGCAUUUUAAUCUAAGCAUCAUGCUUAAUUUAAACUCCCUUGGAAGUAAGAUCAACAUUCCUAACUAAGCACCAUGCUUAAUUAAGAGAUAAAUGAAACUACUCCAAACCUAGUCAUAUACUAAAGCAAAUAAAGGUAGCAUGAGAGCAUUUAUAGGGAUCUACUCAAGUGGAGAUGAAGUAGUGUGAUUAGUAUUUAACAAAUUGAGCAUGUCUCAAAGGUAGGGACAACCAACAUAGCAACAUGGCAAAGAAUGUUUUUAUGUAAAGUACUCCCCCAAGCUUGAAUUUUGCAAAAUUCAAGUUUGGAUGAAUUUAACUCAAUGUUGUAUGAUGAUUGGUUGGACAUACCUUGUGCUUGUCAUUCAUCCGAUCUUCUUGCUCCAAUCCUAGAAAGGUUAGUGACAAGAAUACCUGAAGGAUUUUUUUUACAAUUAUCCUUAUAUGCUCAAAACACAAGGUAAUGUUGUAAAUAAUUAAAAGCUCAUGUUACGAUCUGAUCAGUGCUUAUUUUAGGACACUAAGCUUGUCCAUGGGAAACCAUCAAUUUAUGUCUGCGAAGUGGUUUCCCCUCCAACGCUGACCUAUAUCAUGAUUAACUCAACGAGAUCUGCAAAAUUUAUUAUGGACAUAUGCAUCGACAACCGCCCAAAAAUAUUCUACUCUUAAUCCGGGAGAGAAUAGCCAAAAACAUUCUCCUAUUUCUGUUUUCCCAUGUGAAAUAAAUGCUCAAGAUAUUUCGGUUACUACCACUUGCUACAUUAUUUAAAGAGGUGAGUGCUCUAAAAAAAAAAGAAGAUACGAGGAGAUAAAAAGGGGCAAGUGUCCGGAACCUCGAAAGAAGAGAAAAAGUGAGACGAGAGGUAAAAAUGGACAAGUGUCCGACAGUAGAAUUAGGGGUACAAGAUACCCACCUGAGAGAAAAGAAAAAGAAAAUAUAGAGCAUCUCAUUCUCCUCAAGAAGUUUCAAAAGAGCAAGAAAGGUAUGUAUCCCUCAAAAGAGCACAAGUAGAAUUAGACUUUCACCAUUGUUAUCACCAUCAUCACUAUACACCAUUCAUUCGCCACACAUGCACAUCUUGAUUUGACUUAUUGACUUGUUCUUCUGGAUCCAUAGUUUGACUAUGCAAUAAAUGUCUUGUAAGUAUGUAUUAGCUGUCUCCCACCUAUGAGCUCCAGAUAUCAAA
Molecule: long non-coding RNA, 6533 nt
Filed under: Sorghum bicolor (sorghum)
Lineage: Eukaryota; Viridiplantae; Streptophyta; Magnoliopsida; Poales; Poaceae
Description: long non-coding RNA (SBIC_LNC001387)
Source: RNAcentral